AGAGUUUGAUCCUGGCUCAGGAUGAACGCUGGCGGCGUGCCUAACACAUGCAAGUCGAACGGGAAUCUUCGGAUUCUAGUGGCGGACGGGUGAGUAACGCGUAAGAAUCUAACUUCAGGACGGGGACAACAGUUGGAAACGACUGCUAAUACCCGAUGUGCCGCAAGGUGAAACCUAAUUGGCCUGGAGAAGAGCUUGCGUCUGAUUAGCUAGUUGGUGGGGUAAGAGCCUACCAAGGCGACGAUCAGUAGCUGGUCUGAGAGGAUGAGCAGCCACACUGGGACUGAGACACGGCCCAGACUCCUACGGGAGGCAGCAGUGGGGAAUUUUCCGCAAUGGGCGAAAGCCUGACGGAGCAACGCCGCGUGAGGGAGGAAGGUCUUUGGAUUGUAAACCUCUUUUCUCAAGGAAGAAGUUCUGACGGUACUUGAGGAAUCAGCCUCGGCUAACUCCGUGCCAGCAGCCGCGGUAAUACGGGGGAGGCAAGCGUUAUCCGGAAUUAUUGGGCGUAAAGCGUCCGCAGGUGGUCAGCCAAGUCUGCCGUCAAAUCAGGUUGCUUAACGACCUAAAGGCGGUGGAAACUGGCAGACUAGAGAGCAGUAGGGGUAGCAGGAAUUCCCAGUGUAGCGGUGAAAUGCGUAGAGAUUGGGAAGAACAUCGGUGGCGAAAGCGUGCUACUGGGCUGUAUCUGACACUCAGGGACGAAAGCUAGGGGAGCGAAUGGGAUUAGAUACCCCAGUAGUC
This 744-nucleotide ribosomal RNA is filed under the name Microcystis aeruginosa LMECYA 1. RNAcentral describes it as "bacterial SSU rRNA". It matches the Rfam family "Bacterial small subunit ribosomal RNA", at positions 8 to 795 of the family's 1533-position model. The record is from RNAcentral. Lineage: Bacteria; Bacillati; Cyanobacteriota; Cyanophyceae; Chroococcales; Microcystaceae.